Oryza glumipatula is the source of this 190-nucleotide non-coding RNA. NCBI's taxonomy places the organism in Eukaryota, Viridiplantae, Streptophyta, Magnoliopsida, Poales, Poaceae. The record is from Rfam.
AAAAAAAAAAAAUCUGGAUUUCCAUAUACAAUGUUUGACUGUCCAUCUUAUAUAAAAUCUUUUUAUAAUUAGUAUUUUUAAACAUGAUUAAUACUUUAUGUGUGACUUGUCUUUUUAAUUUUUUUCAUAAUUUUUUUAAAUAAGAUGGUCGGUCAAACGUUGAACACGGAAACCCAGUGUUUGUCUUUUU